AAGAAAUACUAAGUAUUUGGAAUUCACUCCACUUUGAUCUCAUCCAAAUCCUAUGCUCUUCUUUCCUCAUCAUUUUUGUAGCCACAGUGUACUUCAUGUCAAAACCAAGAUCCAUUUACUUAGUAGAUUAUUCAUGUUACAAAGCUCCUGUCACAUGUAGAGUACCAUUUUCAACUUUUAUGGAACAUUCACGUCUAAUCUUGAAAGAUAAUCCUGAAAGUGUGAAGUUCCAAAUGAGAAUUCUUGAAAGGUCAGGACUUGGUGAAGAAACCUGUUUGCCUCCUGCUUGUCAUUACAUCCCUCCAACACCAACAAUGGAAUCUGCUAGAACUGAAGCUGAAGUUGUCAUAUUCUCAGCUAUUGACAACUUAAUGAAGAAAACAGGUCUAAAACCUAAAG
This 399-nucleotide long non-coding RNA is filed under the name Nicotiana tabacum (common tobacco). RNAcentral's name for it is "long non-coding RNA (NTAB_LNC007023)". The record is from RNAcentral. Lineage: Eukaryota; Viridiplantae; Streptophyta; Magnoliopsida; Solanales; Solanaceae.